This 371-nucleotide ribosomal RNA is filed under the name uncultured eukaryote. RNAcentral's name for it is "partial 18S ribosomal RNA". It matches the Rfam family "Eukaryotic small subunit ribosomal RNA", at positions 592 to 976 of the family's 1831-position model. The record is from RNAcentral.
CAAUAGCGUAUAUUAAAGUUGUUGCAGUUAAAAAGCUCGUAGUUGAAUUUCUGUCAGGAGUGACCGGGCCUUUGGAUGAACUUCCAUUGUUUUUUGCUCUGUUUGUCAUCUCUAGACAUCCUGAAAUAUUUUUUAAAAAUAUUUCUCUUUUACUGUUAGCAAAAUAGAGUGUUCCAAGCAAAGCGUAGUUUUGAAUACAUUAGAAUGGAAUAAUAAGAUGGGACUUUGGUGCUAUUUUGUUGGUUUGCACACCAAGGUAAUGAUUAAUAGGGACAGUUGGGGGUAUUCGUAUUUAAUUGUCAGAGGUGAAAUUCUUGGAUUUAUGAAAGACGAACUACUGCGAAAGCAUUUACCAAGGAUGUUUUCAUUAA